UACAGAGGGGGCAAGCGUUGUUCGGAAUUACUGGGCGUAAAGGGCGCGUAGGCGGCCUGCUAAGUCGAACGUGAAAUCCCUGGGCUCAACCCAGGAACUGCGUCCGAUACUGGUUGGCUUGAACCCGGGAGAGGGAUGUGGAAUUCCAGGUGUAGCGGUGAAAUGCGUAGAUAUCUGGAGGAACACCGGUGGCGAAGGCGACAUCCUGGACCGGUAUUGACGCUGAGGCGCGAAAGCCAGGGGAGCAAACGGG
This 253-nucleotide ribosomal RNA is filed under the name uncultured bacterium. RNAcentral's name for it is "partial 16S ribosomal RNA". It matches the Rfam family "Bacterial small subunit ribosomal RNA", at positions 524 to 776 of the family's 1533-position model. The record is from RNAcentral.